AGAGUUUGAUCAUGGCUCAGAACGAACGCUGGCGGCGUGGAUAAGACAUGCAAGUCGAGCGCUGAUUCCGGGGUAGCAAUAUUCCGGGGUCGGAGCGGCGCAAGGGUGCGUAACACGUGGGCAAUCUGCCGUGAAGUUUGGGAUAACUUGCUGAAAGGCGAGCUAAUACCGGAUGUGACAACCGAGAGGCAUCUUUUGGUUGUUAAAGUUGGGGACCGUAAGGCCUGACGCUUCAUGAUGAGCCCGCGGCCUAUCAGCUUGUUGGUGAGGUAACGGCCCACCAAGGCUAAGACGGGUAGCUGGUCUGAGAGGACGACCAGCCACACUGGAACUGAGACACGGUCCAGACACCUACGGGUGGCAGCAGUCGAGAAUUUUUCACAAUGGGCGAAAGCCUGAUGGAGCGACGCCGCGUGGGGGAUGAAUGGCUUCGGCCCGUAAACCCCUGUCAUUUGCGAACAAACCUCGCUAUUUAAAAGAUGGCGAGCUGAUGGUAGCGAAAGAGGAAGGGACGGCUAACUCUGUGCCAGCAGCCGCGGUAAUACAGAGGUCCCAAGCGUUGUUCGGAUUCACUGGGCGUAAAGGGUGCGUAGGUGGUGGGGUAAGUCGGAUGUGAAAUCUCCGAGCUCAACUCGGAAAUGGCAUUGGAAACUACCCUGCUCGAGGGUUGGAGGGGGGGACUGGAAUUCUCGGUGUAGCAGUGAAAUGCGUAGAUAUCGAGAGGAACACCAGUGGCGAAGGCGAGUCCCUGGACAACUCCUGACACUGAGGCACGAAAGCUAGGGGAGCAAACAGGAUUAGAUACCCUAGUAGUCC
RNAcentral lists this ribosomal RNA (816 nucleotides) under uncultured bacterium. RNAcentral describes it as "bacterial SSU rRNA". It matches the Rfam family "Bacterial small subunit ribosomal RNA", at positions 8 to 796 of the family's 1533-position model. The record is from RNAcentral.